GUCCUACGGGGGGCGGCAGUGGGGAAUAUUGCACAAUGGGGGAAACCCUGAUGCAGCGACGCCGCGUGAGUGAAGAAGUAUUUCGGUAUGUAAAGCUCUAUCAGCAGGGAAGAAAUAGCGACCUUUGGGUCGCCAGACGGUACCUGACUAAGAAGCCCCGGCUAACUACGUGCCAGCAGCCGCGGUAAUACGUAGUGGGCAAGCGUUAUCCGGAUUUACUGGGUGUAAAGGGAGCUUAGACGGCAGCACAAGUCUGAAUCGAAUUGCCUGGGCUUACCCCCGGAACUGCUUUGGAAACUGUGCAG
Molecule: ribosomal RNA, 305 nt
Filed under: uncultured bacterium
Lineage: Bacteria
Description: bacterial SSU rRNA
Rfam family: Bacterial small subunit ribosomal RNA
Source: RNAcentral